Molecule: ribosomal RNA, 253 nt
Filed under: uncultured bacterium
Lineage: Bacteria
Description: partial 16S ribosomal RNA
Rfam family: Bacterial small subunit ribosomal RNA
Source: RNAcentral
UACGUAGGUGGCGAGCGUUGUUCGGAAUUACUGGGCGUAAAGGGCGCGCAGGCGGCCUUGGAAGUCAGGUGUGAAAGCCCUGGGCUCAACCUAGGAAUUGCACUUGAUACUCUGAUGGCUGGAGUGCGGGAGAGGAGAGUGGAAUUCCCAGUGUAGAGGUGAAAUUCGUAGAUAUUGGGAAGAACACCGGUGGCGAAGGCGGCUCUCUGGACCGUAACUGACGCUGAGGCGCGAAAGCGUGGGGAGCAAACAG